This 253-nucleotide ribosomal RNA is filed under the name uncultured bacterium. RNAcentral's name for it is "partial 16S ribosomal RNA". It matches the Rfam family "Bacterial small subunit ribosomal RNA", at positions 524 to 776 of the family's 1533-position model. The record is from RNAcentral.
GACGAAGGGGGCUAGCGUUGUUCGGAAUUACUGGGCGUAAAGCGCGCGUAGGCGGCCCGGUAAGUCCGCUCUGAAAGUCCAAGGCUCAACCUUGGAAUGCGGGUGGAUACUGGCAGGCUUGAAUCCGGGAGAGGGAUGCGGAAUUCCAGGUGUAGCGGUGAAAUGCGUAGAUAUCAGGAGGAACACCGGUGGCGAAGGCGGGUCUCUGGGCCGAUAUUGACGCUGAGGAGCGAAAGCGUGGGGAGCGAACAGG